RNAcentral lists this ribosomal RNA (254 nucleotides) under uncultured bacterium. RNAcentral's name for it is "partial 16S ribosomal RNA". It matches the Rfam family "Bacterial small subunit ribosomal RNA", at positions 524 to 776 of the family's 1533-position model. The record is from RNAcentral.
UACGUAGGGUGCGAGCGUUGUCCGGAAUUACUGGGCGUAAAGCGUGCGCAGGCGGUUUUGUAAGUCUGUCGUGAAAUCCCCGGGCUCAACCUGGGAAUUGCGAUGGAGACUGCAAGGCUAGAAUCUGGCAGAGGGGGGUAGAAUUCCACGUGUGAGCAGUGAAAUGCGUAGAGAUGUGGAGGAACACCGAUGGCGAAGGCAGCCCCCUGGGUCAAGACUGACGCUCAUGCACGAAAGCGUGGGGAGCAAACAGG